AUGGACGAAAACAAUAUGAUCGACAUUUGGAGGGAAAGAAAUGAGAAAAAAAAGAAUUCUCAAGGAGACAGAUAGUUGGGAAUUUUAUGUGUAAGACAAGGAUUGAUUUUAUUUUAUGCACGAGAAACACAAAAAGAUUUAUAGAAGGGAUAAAGUACGAAGAAACAAGUUUAAGCGAUCAUAAGCCCCUGUUCGUACACAUAGAUUGGAGGGUAGUCAAAAGAGGGCCAGGGGUAUGGGUUUUAAAUAUAGCGAUUUUACAGAAUGAAGAGUAUAUUGAAAAAAUAAAAGAGAUAAUGGAAAACGAAAAAGAAAACGGGAUGUUCAUAGAAGAUAAAAGAAUAUGGUGGGAAAAUGUAAAAUAUGAAGUAAAGAAAUUUACAAUAAAAUAUUGUACGCUUAUACAGAAAAGGAAAAAGGAUAAGAAAAGAGAAAUAAGGGAACGGUGGGAGAAGGAAAAAGAUGUACAGAAAUUGAAAGCGAUAGAAGAAGAAUUGCAGGAAAUAGAAGAAAGUAAAUAUCAAGGCGCAAGGUUGCGAAGUAAAGCAAAGUCUAUGGUGGAGGGGGAAAAAUGCACAAAAUUCUUCUUCGAUUUAGAAAGAAGGAAGGGAAAAGCCGAGACAAUAAAAGGAAUUAAAGGGGAGAAUGGGAAAGUAGUAGAGGAAAAUGAGGAAAUUCUAAAAGAAGUUAAAGUAUAUUACGAGAAAUUAUUUAGCUCAGAGGGAGUAGGAGAAAAGGAGAAGGGAUUUUUAUUAAAUCAAAUAGAAGCAAGGGUAGGAGAGGAAGAAAAAAAUGAAUGUGACAAAGAAAUAAGGGAGGAAGAAAUAGAAAAAGCCAUAGCACAACUAAAUAGAAAGAAAAGCCCGGGAAUAGAUGUAUUGGGGGGUGAGAAGAAAAAAUGAAUGUGACAAAGAAAUAAGGGAGGAAGAAAUAGAAAAAGCCAUAGCACAACUAAAUAGAAAGAAAAGCCCGGGAAUAGAUGUAUUGGGGGGUGAGUUUUAUAUUGUUUUUAAGGAUGUUUUAACCAGCACUUUGAAAAAUGUAUACGAUGAGAUAUUUAAGAAAGGGAAAAUAAACAAAAGAAUGGGAAUGGGAGUGGUAAAGUUGAUAUAUAAAAGAAAAGGGGAAAGAGAAGAUUUAAGAAACUAUAGACCGAUCACAAUGCUUAAUACUGACUUAAAGAUUUUAGCGAAAAUUUUAGCAAAUAGACUAAAAGA
Long non-coding RNA from Ictalurus punctatus (channel catfish), 1217 nucleotides. The record is from Ensembl. NCBI's taxonomy places the organism in Eukaryota, Metazoa, Chordata, Actinopteri, Siluriformes, Ictaluridae.